RNAcentral lists this long non-coding RNA (248 nucleotides) under Prunus persica (peach). RNAcentral describes it as "long non-coding RNA (PPER_LNC008701)". Lineage: Eukaryota; Viridiplantae; Streptophyta; Magnoliopsida; Rosales; Rosaceae. The record is from RNAcentral.
GAUUUCAGUCAAAACCCACCAAAUGACUCCUCCCACAAUAUUAUGAUGUUCCCCUAGUUUUGGACUCAAUCCGAUAUCGAUUGGUCCUUGAAAUCGGACAAUUCAGGUUCGUAUGAAGUUCGUUCUGAAAUGGAGUGGUUGGUGUAUUGUAUAGUUCUAGGGAUUGUAUUUCACUCAAAACCCACCAAAUGACUCCUCCCACAAUAUUAUGAUGUUCCCCAAGUUUUGGACUCAAUCCGAUAUCGAUU